This is a long non-coding RNA of Zalophus californianus (California sea lion), 1628 nucleotides long. RefSeq lists it as uncharacterized. NCBI's taxonomy places the organism in Eukaryota, Metazoa, Chordata, Mammalia, Carnivora, Otariidae. The record is from RefSeq and is a predicted model, not a curated record. The transcript has 2 exons.
UACGCGGCGGGUGUCGAGCGAAAAAAACACACAGAGAGAAUGACCCACGAGAAAGGGAAAGGGGAAAACACCAAUCCUCGGGGCGCUGGACUUUUUCGACUUUUCCUUUAAAAAGAAAAAAAAGUUUUUCAAGCUGUAGGUUCCAAGAACAGGCAGGAGGGGGCCGAGGCGGGGGGUUUUACAGAACAGGCGGCCGGUCGGUUAUGAGUCACAAGUGGGUUAUAAAAGGGUCGCACGUUCGCUGGCGCGGGCUUCCUGUGCGCGGCCGGCCACGUCGGGCCGCCUGCAGCCUCGGGACCGGAGCAGACGCGAUCGCGGGGACAGCGGAGGCCGCCCGGGCCGCCAGGUGGCGCAGACCAGGAAGGGGAAAUCUCUGGUUUAAAUUCUUUGUGCCUCAUCCUCUGAAUGCUGGAGGCUUGCUGUAGGCUGUAUGCUGUUAAUGCUAAUCGUGAUAGGGGUUUUUACCUCCGACUGACUCCUACAUGUUAGCAUUAACAGGGUAUGAUGCCUGUUACUAGCAUUCACUGGAACAAAUUGCUGCCGUGGAAGGAUGACAAAGAAGAAUCAGUCACCCUGCUGGAUAAACUUAAGACUUCAGCCUUUAUUAUUUUUGUUAAUCAUAAUCUGGUCACCGAGAUGUUCCGCCUUCAGUUUUUAAGAGAGUAAGGUCAUUCGAAAGAUUUAUCAGCAGCAUUCUGAAUGCAAACACUUUUACGCGAAUCUUCAAGCCCACAUCUUUGUUUGGAUCUUUAGUGGAAAACGUAUUUGCGUCGUUUUUGAUUCAAAGUUAUGGUGUGUUGUUACUGUUCAGAAGCACUUUUCAUAACUCAACUGAAAGAAAUAUGGACUAAACACAUUCUGAAACAAAUUUCUAGAAUAUCUUCGUAGUUAAAAAUUAGAAGGACCCUCCAGUUACAUCAGGGAUGGUCCAGCAACAGUUUCAAACAGAUUUAUAAAUUGGCAUGUUUUUUCCUUCGUUUUGCAAUUUUCUAUUCAGACAACUUUAGUUUGAAGUUAGCACUUUUAUCUGAAUCUUAAGGGGGAAUUAUAAGGCUAUGACAAUGAGUGAUUUUUAGAAAUGAAAUAUUUUUACCAAUUAGCAUGGUAAAUGAUGUCUGAGAGAUAACCCCUCCCUUUUCCCUACAAGAUACAAAGGCUUAAUAAAAAAAAAUUUCAUAUUUGAAAUUAAGUUCCAAAUCUAGGUUCAAGUUUAAUGACUUGGCCACAUAAUUAUGUCGUGGGGGUCAAAGAAUCCACUUUUCCUCUCAAAGCCUGUGUCAGGAUUAGCCCCCAGGACGGGGCUAAUACUUUACAAGGUCGGUGUGAGGUUUAUGUGCAAAAGAACUAUUUUGUAAAAUAGAAAGUUACAUUAAUGUUAUAGUAAAAUUCAUCCAAGAACUAGCCCCCCACACACACACUUUGUUAGAGAAAAGCUAAUGAUUUGAUUUACAGAAUUUUUCAGGUUUGGAUUUCUCUGCAGUUUUUUUUUCCAUAAUUCACUAUAUCAUUUACAAAUAAAUAGUUAAUUAUAAUUGUUGGCAUAUUUAGUGUAUACUUGUAUUAGCAACUCUUUUCAACAUUUUGUCAGUUACACACUGUAACCAAAUAAACCUCUUUUAGUCACUUAG